UCAUCACAUUUAACAGCACAACCUAGAUAAUCUUCAUUUCUCCCAUUCUCUCCUAUCUUCCCUUAUUUGAAGAAAAGUUCCUUCCUUUUCCAUUUACAUUCUUUCUUAUUUAUUUAUUUUUCAAGCAAAAUCAUAUUUUCCAAGCAAGGUCUUGGUUUUGGUGACCAAUUUCUGUACAAAAAGGGUUAUACAUUUUUGUGGCUGUUUUAUCUUGGGGACGCUGUGGUAACUUCAAAACUGCUGCACAAACUAGGGCAAUAUUGCGAAACGUCCUAAAGAAAACGAGCUUUGCAACUAACAAGUUUUUAUUUUACAGUGUUCUAAUUUAGUGAAAGUUUGGUUGUUAUUUUCAUUUAUUGACGGUUGGAGAAUUCUAGCGACAACAAUUUUAAUACGAUUCAUCUAUUUUGAUGGCUUUAACACAUUCCAAUGUGAUGUCAUCUAAACUCAACUAUUUGUUUCGUUUUGAAGGGAUAAAUUUCAAAAGAUGGGGACAAAAGAUGUUCUUCCUUACGGUCAUGAAAGUUGUUGAUGUGUAAGACCUGUACCAAAAUUAAAAGCAAAGAAGUAAAAUUUUGGUUAAGUGUUUUGAAUUAGGCGUUUUGAAGUAAGGUUAGGUGAUAAUGAGGGGAGGACUAAGAUAGUUUGCGAGGAAGAUUCAAGUGUUACUAUGUGAUUAAGGCAUUGAGUGAGAAGAAGGACUAGGCGAGAAGAAGAAAGGAAACAUCUCAGAGAUUUCCUAAGUUUACUUAAUGGGCCAUGUGUAAGAGUUAAACUAAACAUGAUUAGGCUAAACUUUAAGCUUACAUGUACACUGCCAAGAAUAGUAGCUGGCAAGAGGACAAGAGUUUAAGGAUGACUAAGCUCGGUUAGGAAGUAGUAUAAAUAGUGGGAGGUAAGACCUUAGUUAUUAAUUUUCUGCUCAAUUCAAGAGGAGAUCUCAAGACUUGAAGUGUUGACAUUUUGUCUACGCGAGAAGAGGAAAGUAGGAGCAAUCCAGGUUUAAGGUUAAGUUUGGAGUUAGUCGUUAAGACCAAGUAAGAGAAGUUUGAAGGGCUUGCUAGGCAGGAAGGUUGCCAAGACGUUUUAUUCUUUAAAGUUUUAAGAUUUGUGUAUGUAUUAGUUGUAAAGUUAUUGUAAAAUGCUCAAUGAAGUUUAAUAAAGUUUUAGUUUGGUUA
Cucumis melo (muskmelon) is the source of this 1178-nucleotide long non-coding RNA. RefSeq lists it as uncharacterized. The record is from RefSeq and is a predicted model, not a curated record. The transcript has 2 exons. Lineage: Eukaryota; Viridiplantae; Streptophyta; Magnoliopsida; Cucurbitales; Cucurbitaceae.